Molecule: long non-coding RNA, 248 nt
Organism: Neopsephotus bourkii (Bourke's parrot)
Lineage: Eukaryota; Metazoa; Chordata; Aves; Psittaciformes; Psittacidae
Exons: 3
Source: RefSeq, a predicted model, not a curated record
UUGGAGGGGUCCUAAAGUUCUCUUUUUAUACCCUGACUGGUAAAAAGCUAUGACAGAAACAGUGGGUGACAAGCGAGGAAUGGGAAGGUUUUCAAGAGGUUCAGGGUAAAGCAGGCCUGGCUGAUGGUUUUGAAUGCUGGGGGUUGGCAGUCCUGAAUCCUCACCUGAGCCUUUCCCUUUCACCAAGAAGCUGCAAGCUGCCCCAAGACAAAAGAUAAGGCUGUGGCCACACAGUGGAAUAUUCCCAG